GCUUGCACUAAUGUUUGUUUGCCAAGCUUUAGUUCAAGCCUCUGUCACCAUUUUUAAGCACAGGGACACUGAUACACAAGACUGCUGGAGUGCAGUAAUUGCCAUGCCCCAGCAGACUCAAUUCAUCGAGUCUGCUCUGACUCACUGUAAUUAUAGCACAUCAGAGCAGCCUCCACGCUCAUGUACAGGCACCCUUAUUUUGGACUCAUGCUUGCCCCCAUUUGACACUGGCCUAGUUUUUUAGCUUAUAAUUGAAAAGACAAUUCAGUAAUAACUAAUAGCAUCCUGCCUUAUCUGUGUUUUCCAAAGAUUUUUAGCAAAGAUUUUUUUGCUAUCACAUCUAGGACAGUCUCCGAGUAUCUGUCCUGGAAGAAGAGAAUUUAAGUGCCUUGCCCAAGGGGAGAUCAUUAAGUGCACAGUAAAGAAUAGGUUCCCACUUUCGUGCUUUAACACCCUCUCUACACUUCACCCAAACCAGUAACAGUAGUCUGUCAAUGCCACUAGCAGCAUCUAGGCACGUUGAUUUUAAACAUUAAAAUAAAAUCUGCUGAUAGAAUCAUGUCUCUUUCUACAAUUGUAUCUGGCUCAUUAAGUUUGCUGGUUGUUUUUUUUACUUUCUACUGCAUCUGAUCUACAGGAGUUGUGCUGUCGGUUUGAAAACUGAUCAACACAAGCUAAGCUCCGGAAAUAUAAACUUUUUCCAGGCAUGCUAUUAUUCUUUUGCUUGAAAAUACUGUUGACUUAAUAAAACACAUCAUCUCUGACCAGUAAAUUCAUUGAGAUUUGCUACAAUUUGCAAGCACUUCUGAGUGAGUUUGUCACAUACUUUUGGUCUGUUGGUACAAACAGUUCUGUCACCUCUAGACAGAUGAAAAGAAGGAGAUUGAAACUAAAGUCCCCGUUAAAGCAGCACCUUAGGCAUAAGUUGUCUUUGCCUGAAAAGCGUAAAAGAAUAAUGAAUUCAGGGUGCCUCUGUAACAGGAGAAUAAAACAACAGACUGGAAAGAGCUUUAUUGAAGGAGCUCCUGUUCUACACAAGAGCUUCUUUAGUAAUAAUAAAAACAACUCUAAAAUACAUGAAGUAUAACUUAUAAGGAAUCAUAAAUGGUUAACAGCAGGAGCUGGAGUGAUGCUUUUUAACAUCCAAGCUACCGUUAUUUCUUCUCUGGUGCUGACUGACAGGCGCUAUGGUGUCCAGAUGCCCUAAGAUGUCAGGAAGUUGUCUGUGUGCAAGGUAAGCUGUCAUGGUUUCUUUGACAGACAGCUGUGCUAGUAACUUCCAGCGCAGCUUCAGGGUAAAUCCUCCCAACUUAACUGGCAUUAUGACAUCCCAUAUAACCAGUUCUCUCCACCUGCAAUUCUUACAUCUAGGCAGAGCAACUUAGAGAAAGAUCUAGAUAUGGAGAGAAUGUGGUAAGGGGGAGGAGGGUACAGAUGAAACAAAUAUGUCAUUAGAUUUAGUCCUUUUAUUUCCAGAGAAAUUCUGUCAGAAAGAUGGCUGGCUGAGAAACGAAGAGGGCAGUUUGAGGAGCUGUGUUCCCUUCCAAGUCAUAUAAAAUGCAGGUUUCCAAAUCGAAAAAUUGCUGGGGAUUUUAUUUUUAGCAAGCAUAAGAUAAGAAAAUAUUUAAGGCAGAGAAUAUAAGACUUUAAUUGCAUGCUCUUUGUCUGAGGGAAGGAAAAAAAUAUUGCAGUGAAUUUAUUAGAGUUUGUAAAAAGAAAAAAAAAAAAAAGACAGAGUAACAGCACUGAAAAGUGAAGUCUUUUAUGCACAGGUUCAGUAUGAGAAGAGGAAAUGCUGCCUUCCCCAUGGUGUUCUGCCAACAUGCUUUAGCGCUAAACUAAGAGACACUGCUAUGAUUAUAAAGGUCAUUUGGUCUCCUAGCCUACAGGUUUUCAACCUGGUGAUUGUGUAUGCAGGGUUUCAAUUGUUCUUUCUUUCCUUACAGCAAAUAAUGGGGAGAUUAGUAGUCUUGCAGACCUUCUUCCUGCUCUAACCCUGGACCACACUUUGGAAACACUUGAGUACCAUCACUCUCCUUAUGACAUCCUCCUUAUAACAUGCCAUCCUCUUUAUAUUCACAAGGACUCCGGGUAUCAAAGCAGUACAUGUGAUAUGGACACAUGUUCACCAGACACUGGACUGAAACAACAGAUUCACCUGAAAAGCUUGGUAUUGGUCUUCAUUAUGUAACAAUGUGGCAACUGGGGUCAUUUGUCUACCUCUCUUGGCACUUACACAAUCCAUGUAAUUGAGUCCUCACAAACAUUCUUGUGAUACUUUGAAGAUAGCCUUUUGAUUUAAAUAAGAACUGAGGCCCAGAGGGAUUGUAAGCAUGUCUUCCAUGUGCAAGACAAUACAGAGAUACCCAAGCUAGCCCUGAGUGAACUAGCUCCUGAUCCAGAAGAAGCACAGCUGUGUUGACAGAGGCCUGUGCCUAGGCUAAUUAGCACUCUGCAAGAUUAUCAUCAGCAUCUCCAGAAAUUACUUAAAAACUUCACUUGAGAAAGGCAUCAGUUCAAUAGUAGAGGCAAUUUUCUGUUUAAUUCACAGAUGGCUUAAAAACAUUAACGAAAUACUAUCAAUUCCUACCAAAUAAACAGCAUAAAGACUUUUUCAGAAGGAAAACAGUAACAAGAACAACACAGGUGUAGACCAACUAACCUGAAUGAAAUCAUCAUUAGGAAAGUAAAAUAUUGUUGGAGUCUCAUUAAAAUUGUGAUUUCCAAGUGUACAAUUUACAAUUGUAAAAUUGUAAUCCCCACUACAAAUUUUUAAUCAGUCAGAAAACAAAUAGCUUCUUAAAACUUACAACAACAAAAAAUAGCACUUUCCAUCUCUUUUCCCUAUUAGGAAGUCUUCCCACCAAUACAUGCAUCACUCAACCAAUAUCAACUAGCUGUAUAGAGGAUAUCAGAAUUCAUAUCACACUAGAGAAACUCUUAUUUAUAAGUUCAUGAAGCCAAAACACAUGGACGUAUUUUGGGUCAUGAUAAGAACCUGGCAUAUUUCUAUCCAGCAUCACCCAGCAAGGAGAGAAUGGGAGAGGUCAGUCCAGCUCCUGAUCUUAGAGUCCCCACAUGGCAAUCAACACGCUUCUGCUACGACACCAGGAGCUACAGUAAGAGAACAGAACUAUCAAGUUGGCACCUCAUCUUUGGCAGUGGACAAUGCUAGAUGCUCCAGAAGUUUGUUAAAAAAUAUAUAGCUAAUGAUCUUGCUAAUCUACUUACUUAAAUUGUAUCCUGCAGAAGUGAGUCGUACUGCAUAAACAUUUUUUUCCAUUUUGUGGGUGUUAGUCAAUACAUGGAGCCAAUCAAGCUAUCCUUCAUGCACAACUAGGGAAUUUGUAUUAUCUUUUUCAGAACUCUCAUCCUGCAGCUGAUUCAGCCCCCACAACAAAACAUUUUAACCUAUCAACAUGAUGUAGAGUAACUUCAGAGCUGCUCUAAGUUGCACUUAUUGUUUUCAAGGGAACUAGCACAAUCUCAUCUGUAUUAAACCCUGUUAAACUUCCUUUCAUUCCACUUUCUUCAGCGUGUGUUUAACUAUUUACUAAAUAAGGGAUGGACUGCAUUAAUUUAAACACAUUCAUAAGUAUUUGACUGAGUCCAGGCCUUAUUUCUUGUUCUAACAUACACUGUCUACAGUAUGCUCCUUCCUCAUAACAGCACACCUCAUGAAAGUUGUCCAUUAACCCACUGCAAAACUCACUUCAGCAGUAGCCCACCUAAAUAUCUACAGACUGACUGAACAGAGAAAAAUGGAUCCAUAUCUCAAAUUCUUAUAAUUCAUUAUAGGAGGAAAAAAACCCAACCCCUUUAAUCCUUAAUUUUACUUUGGGCUAGUGAACUAUUUUCUCAAAUCCAUCCUUCUACUGCCUUAUUUUAAACUUGACCCUCCUGCUUUUGGGCUGUUUUCUUCUUGAGUUAGGGUGUAUAUGCAACAGUCUGAAAUGGUUUGUUCUGUCUGUGCAAACCAUACAAAUUGAUACAAAUUGAUUAAUUUGGACAUUCAGAUUUCAGAUUCUCUUCCACACCUUUGCUGCCCAAAAAAACAAAACUGCUGCAGUCAUUACUCAACACGAGUGGAUUAAUUAUCUUUUAGUAAUAAGACACUAUCUGUUACAUUUUUUUCUAUACAGAACUUUGCAGUAAAUACUCAUAGCAUGUCCACAGUGUUCUCUUCAUGUAAGGAAAGGUUGUAGAUCCUUUAACAAUAUUUGCACCUCUAAACCCAGUCACAAGCAAGUCAAUUCUUGUUUUUCAAGUUAAUUUUUCAGAUGAAUUGCUUUGCACCAACUGCACAGAUUAGAUAUAAUAUCAGGUAUGCAUAUUGAUCAUUACGACUGUGCAUCCCACUCAAAGAUCUAAGCAGUCACCCCAUUUUAAAGAAAGACUUCACUACAAAUGCAAAGGUUCAACUCUAUCCAUGAACCAUCAAUAAAAAUUCCAGGAAGACUGCAUCCAAGUUAAAGAUUCAAAACACCCUACUGCCCAUAAAUCAAAAGCUAUAACCACAGCCUUUGCUCUCCAAAAUUCCUGCCCACAAACUUUACGGCAGGAAAUCUGAAGGCUUUCUAAUGCAGACUCUAUCACUGAGGCUCCACAGAUCUCUUCCAUUUUAUUGUACUAAAUAGAACACCAACACUUUAAACGUUACCCAACAGAAGAGGAGCAUUUGAAUCUCAAUGCAAUCACAGUCCAAAUUUUCCUAACACCUCUUGGGGUUCUUUCUGCAGUUUAUCAGACAGAUUAAUUGACAGUCACAGUGAAGCUGCAUGUUUAAUCUAUUUUUACAGAUUUUAAGAUACAGUAUAGCUUUGACUUACAAAUUAGUUUGGGUCCCAUGUGUCUUAGAGACUGUCAUUCUCUUUCUUCUUUAUCUUAACUGUAGAGAUUAGCGGGGAUGCUCACAGUAUAAUAGUUCCCAGAUCCAGAUGUCAUUCUCAAUAGGAGUUUUUCAACUCUGAAAAACACUCCCCUAUUCCUUCAUUCCCAGGUUUAUUAAUGUUUGGGGUAUGCAGCAACGCUUCACCCAGGCUUUUUCCAGAUGCUGGUUUAAGAGCAGCAUGCGAUUCUGAGAGGCAGGAGAGUUAUUUCAUUUCUGUUAGCGAACAUUCUUUAAUAAAGCUGAGGGAAUAACGUAUAGCAAUAAGGCCGUACUGAGACUCUUUUAUGUAGCUGUGAAAUAGCAAUGAACAGCUUGCAAUUUUCUGAAAGGUAUUUGUGCUUUUCAAAAUGAUUCAGUUAAAACCUCUCUCAUAUAAUUCUUCAUUUGCUGACCAUUUUCAGUUUCUUACACAUCCUCAAUAUUCAGUUAGUUUUUAAUGGGUAUACAGGUCACAUAGCAUUGCUUGUGUCUCAAGAUUAGACAGCAUAACCCACAGAAUCAAGUUUGUUAUGCAGACUAAGUCCAAGUACACACGUUACUCAUAAAUCAGUACAAGUGAUCGGAAGCUGGUCUAUGCCCAUAAUCGAACAGAAGUCCAGUGCACAUAGACUUGUUUAAAAAUGGCAGAACCUAGUCUAAGAUAGACUCGGAUUGAUGUGGUAUCAAACUUAAUCUAUUUAGGUUAGACUGGUCUAUCAAACUUCUGUACCAGAUCCCCUACUGAGUCAGGUCGCUGUCCAUCAGCAUCCCAGGCUGCUUUGCAGCCCCCAGCUAACUUGCCCUCGCAGGGAGAUGUACUGGGACUAGCUCAUGCUUGGCUUCUCUGGCCGAGUGCCUAGCCAGCCCUGCUCUUGGGCUGUCACAGAGCUGAGUCAGCACAGAAUCUCUCCCCAGCCCCACAUCCUGCCUCCAGCCAGAUGUGGGCCACAAGCAGACAGGGGACGGGAGGCAGGGGAGAUUGGGGACUUCUCUUGCAUGGACCCAGCUCACAUUCUCCCAGACCUGAGCCAGCAUAAUCUCUCCCCAGUCCCUCCUCCCGCCCUUAGCCCACUCUCAACUGGAGGUAGACAGAGAGGGUGGGGGACAAGGAUAUUUCUGCCACAUGAGCCAGAAGCCAAUCAGAGGCGGCAGGGCCUCUGGGCUGCUCUCGGCAGUGGUGAGCCUGCUGGGAGGCAUGCGGGAGUGCCCCCAACCAGCUGGUCUCAGCCAGUGCAAACAGCCUGCAUGCCCCUCUCCUUGCUGCCAAAGGGCAAAAGUGCGUUCUGUUCACUUCCAAACUGACCUAGGGUGCUUAGAGUAAAGCGCAUAACUUAGAUCACUUCCACCUUGGGCUUUUUGAAUGUCUGGACCUGGCCUAAGAUUUGCAACCGAACUUCUGAAAUUCACUAUUCCUUAAUAUUUACUUCAGGUUCACUUUUUCUACAGUGCUUCCUAUUUGAAAGGUUGUCCAGCAGAACAUUCAUAAAACAGGAAGACAAAAGCAGUACCGCCAUAAAGCACACUGCAUUUCUUAUUUGACUGAAUAGUCACAAAAACAUUUUUAAAGCCAAGGCAUAUUAUAGGUUGGCUGUUUGUAUUGUAAAUGUGCAUUAAGGUUAACAACAAGGCCCAUCCUCAUAAAGGAAAUUAAUAAAUAAUAACUACAUAAUAUUAUAUGUGUAUGCGUUCUUAUCACCCAAUUCUCUGCAUUUUCAAACAGAGGAUAGUUUCUUGAAUAAUUUAGUUACAAUACAGCCAUUUACAACACUAGAGUUAUUGACAAUCAAAAUACUGGCAGGAAGAGUCUUUUUCUUUCCUGAUGCAGCUGUGGUCAGCAAAGUAGUUUUCAUUUUGGGGAGUAGUUUUUCUGUUUGUAUCAGUCAAAACAAAAAAUGCUUUACAGAAAGGUUGAUGGGUUAUAUUUAUUUAUUUUUUGGUAAAACCUAGUUAUAAGUCUAAUUUUAUGAAAGAGACACCAAUACCUCAUCUCCAAAGCUCCUGGCAAUGUUACUUAACCAUCAGAAAAGAAACUACUGUAAUACCUUUUCUAGCCAGAAAUAUUUUCCAAGGCUAAGGCACAGGUGCAACGGUAUUUUUCUAGCUCCCUAACAAUUAUUUGGAAGCUGUGCUAGGAACUAAUUAGUGAAUACAGACAGUGAAAUGAACAGAAACAUUCUGGAUACAUAUUUGAAUAUGUGGUGGACUUACCAAAUCAGCCUGGCUCAAACGGGUUUGGAAAAUCUUCAUUUCAAUUGGUGCAGCCCAUCCACCAAUCAGGUAAGGGCUGGGUGGGGCUGGCCCCUCCACUUACCCGGACAGAGUGGGCAAAGAGCCUCCUGAACCUGAUUGAAGCCUGCAUGCUGCAGGUCCAGCAAGCCUUCAGAGGUGGAGCCUCUGGAGUGAAUAAAAGGAGCGGCAUGCCCAGCACAUAGCAGAUGCGUCGGGGAACAAAUAAGUAGGCAGGGCUAAGAAAAGCAAGGGAGAGCUGCCUAGCGGGCAGAAGCGGUAGCCCAGAAGAGCCCUGGAAGACCUCCUUGGUGGGACCAGAGCAGCAAGCAGCUUUGGCUACAGCCCCAGCAGUGCACAGAGCAGUGCAUGGGCCAGACCCUGGGAGCUGCGGGAGGCAGCUUGGGUUCCCGGACACCCGACACAUGUGGCAGUGCUUGGAGCCAUCAGACCCUGGAAGCUGCACAUGGUGGCUCAAGUCUGCUACCCUCAGCGUAUGGCCCAGGACUCGGUGCACACGGCAGUGCACAGCAUGCCAAACCCUGGGAGUGGCACCAGGCCGCUUGGGUUUGCAACCCCUCCAUUGGCGUGUGGCCGGGUACCGAGGAGGCACUGGCGGGGUAUGGUGGAAGUCCAGCAGUCCAGGAUUUGGGGCCUGCACAAGGUGGCCCGAGCUCCAACAAAAAGCAGAAGGCAAGGCCUGGGUGUCACUACCCGCACAAGUCAGCCCAAGCCCCAACAGAAGGCAGAAGGCAAGGCCUGGGUGUCAGGACCCACACGAGGCAGCCCAAGCCCCAACAGAAGGCAAGGCCUGGGUGUCAGGACCCGCACGAGGCAGCCCAAGCCCCAACAGAAGGCAAGGCCUGGGUGUCAGGACCCGCACGAGGCAGCCCAAGCCCCAACAAAAGACAGAAGGCAGGGCUCUGGGUGGCCCUGACAAGGCGCCCACAGCUCCAAGAGCCCCUCCUGGCCUGCUUCCCGGAUCCAUGAGUACCCGGGGAAUGGGUACCCACAGGGGUGGAAGCCCUGAAAGGGGGUCCUGAGGGAUCAGGGACCAGGUGAACCCACCUGGGGCUGAGGAGGUAUUAGGACCCUUCUCCCCCUAGAAGGGUGCCAGGGUCUGGCACCCAAGGGGAACGCCCAGUAGUCUCGGCCAUGUGGGUACCUGGAGGGGUAAAGACUUGCGCCUCCUAUUUUGUACAUAGUUAUAUAUAUAUAUAUAUAUAUAUAGAUAGAUAGAUAUAUACGUAUAUUGUUAUCAUCCAAUGUGACCUGGGUUAUGUCAGCAAGUUGAGGUUUAUCUGUAUCUAACUGUUGUUGUUCAUGCCUGAACUUACCUGUUGAUACCUGUGUUUAUCUGCCUAGCUAUACUUUGAUGUUGUUGUUGUAAAUAUUUACCAAUACUUUCUUAUAAAUCUGUGAAUAUUAUCUAUCCAUAUCAGUUGUAUAUUAACAGCUAUCUUUUUAAGGUU
Alligator mississippiensis (American alligator) is the source of this 8568-nucleotide long non-coding RNA. RefSeq lists it as uncharacterized. The record is from RefSeq and is a predicted model, not a curated record. NCBI's taxonomy places the organism in Eukaryota, Metazoa, Chordata, Crocodylia, Alligatoridae. The transcript is spliced from 4 exons.